CACCGCGGUUAUACGAGAGACCCAAAUUGACAGCACCCGGCAUAAAGUGUGGUUAAGAACGAAUAAACACAGAUAAGGCCGAAUUCUUACAAAGCUGUUAUACGCAACCGAAAGAAAGAAGACCAACAACGAAAGUGGCCUUACCCAAUCUGAACCCACGAAAGCCAGGAAA
This 172-nucleotide ribosomal RNA is filed under the name Photopectoralis aureus (golden ponyfish). RNAcentral describes it as "partial 12S rRNA". Lineage: Eukaryota; Metazoa; Chordata; Actinopteri; Chaetodontiformes; Leiognathidae. The record is from RNAcentral.